GCACAAGCGGUGGAGCAUGUGGUUUAAUUCGAUGCAACGCGAAGAACCUUACCAGGUCUUGACAUCCCCUGACAACCCAGAGAUUGGGCGUUCCCCUUCGGGGGACAGGGUGACAGGUGGUGCAUGGUUGUCGUCAGCUCGUGUCGUGAGAUGUUGGGUUAAGUCCCGCAACGAGCGCAACCCUCGCCUCUAGUUGCCAGCAUUCGGUUGGGCACUCUAGAGGGACUGCCGGCGACAAGUCGGAGGAAGGUGGGGAUGACGUCAAAUCAUCAUGCCCCUUAUGACCUGGGCUACACACGUGCUACAAUGGGCGGUACAAAGGGCUGCGAACCCGCGAGGGGGAGCGAAUCCCAAAAAGCCGCUCUCAGUUCGGAUUGCAGGCUGCAACUCGCCUGCAUGAAGCCGGAAUCGCUAGUAAUCGCGGAUCAGCAUGCCGCGGUGAAUACGUUCCCGGGCCUU
This 459-nucleotide ribosomal RNA is filed under the name uncultured Geobacillus sp. RNAcentral's name for it is "bacterial SSU rRNA". It matches the Rfam family "Bacterial small subunit ribosomal RNA", at positions 923 to 1382 of the family's 1533-position model. The record is from RNAcentral. Lineage: Bacteria; Bacillati; Bacillota; Bacilli; Caryophanales; Anoxybacillaceae.